UACAGAGGUCCCAAGCGUUGUUCGGAUUCACUGGGCGUAAAGGGUGCGUAGGUGGUCGGUUAAGUCUGAUGUGAAAUCCCGGAGCUUAACUCCGGAACGGCAUUGGAUACUAGCUGGCUUGAGGUUUGGAGGGGGGACUGGAAUUCUCGGUGUAGCAGUGAAAUGCGUAGAUAUCGAGAGGAACACCUGUGGCGAAGGCGAGUCCCUGGACAACACCUGACACUGAGGCACGAAAGCUAGGGGAGCAAACAGG
Molecule: ribosomal RNA, 253 nt
Filed under: uncultured bacterium
Lineage: Bacteria
Description: partial 16S ribosomal RNA
Rfam family: Bacterial small subunit ribosomal RNA
Source: RNAcentral